AGGGGCUUAGCUCAGUUGGUAGAGCAUCGGUCUCCAAAACCGAGGGUCGUGAGUUCGAGUCUCUCAGCCCCUGCCA
Molecule: transfer RNA, 76 nt
Filed under: Paracoccaceae bacterium
Lineage: Bacteria; Pseudomonadati; Pseudomonadota; Alphaproteobacteria; Rhodobacterales; Paracoccaceae
Also listed under: 1 other name
Description: Rhodobacteraceae bacterium tRNA-Trp
Rfam family: tRNA
About the family: Transfer RNA (tRNA) molecules are approximately 80 nucleotides in length. Their secondary structure includes four short double-helical elements and three loops (D, anti-codon, and T loops).
Source: RNAcentral